RNAcentral lists this ribosomal RNA (398 nucleotides) under uncultured bacterium. RNAcentral describes it as "bacterial SSU rRNA". It matches the Rfam family "Bacterial small subunit ribosomal RNA", at positions 358 to 773 of the family's 1533-position model. The record is from RNAcentral.
GGCAUCUUGGACAAUGGGGGCAACCCUGAUCCAGCCAUGCCGCGUGAGCGAUGACGGCCCUCGGGUUGUAAAGCUCUUUCACCCGUGAAGAUAAUGACGGUAGCGGGAGAAGAAGCCCCGGCUAACUCCGUGCAAGCAGCCGCGGUAAUACGGAGGGGGCUAGCGUUGUUCGGAAGUACUGGGCGUAAAGCGCGCGUAGGCGGAUGUUCAAGUCGGGUGUGAAAGCCCGGGGCUCAACCCCGGAACUGCCUCCGAUACUGGACGUCUCGAGGACGGGAGAGGCGAGUGGAAUGCCGAGUGUAGAGGUGAAAUUCGUAGAUAUUCGGCGGAACACCCGUGGCGAAGGCGGCUCGCUGGUCCGUUUCUGACGCUGAGGCGCGAAAGCGUGGGGAGCAAAC